GCUAACGCGGUGGCACAUAGAGUGGUAAUCCAGUAGGUGAGAGCUUUAUGGAGAAUUGCUGAUAGUAAAGUGUGCGUAGGUGUGACGUUAAAGUGGAUGUGAAAGCCCCGGGCUCAUCCUAGGAACGGCAUUCAAAACAGUCGGGCUAGAGUAUGGUAGAGGGUGGUAUAAUUUCCUGUGUAGCGGUGAAAUGCGUAGAUAUAGGAAGGAUCACCAGUGGCGAAGGCGACCACCUGGACUGAUACUGACACUGAGGUGCGAAAGCGUGGGGAGCAAACAGGAUUAGAUACCCCAGUAGUC
Molecule: ribosomal RNA, 300 nt
Filed under: uncultured Entomoplasma sp.
Lineage: Bacteria; Bacillati; Mycoplasmatota; Mollicutes; Entomoplasmatales; Entomoplasmataceae
Description: partial 16S ribosomal RNA
Rfam family: Bacterial small subunit ribosomal RNA
Source: RNAcentral